GAUGAACGCUGGCGGCGUGCCUAAUACAUGCAAGUCGAGCGAACAGACGAGGAGCUUGCUCCUUCGACGUUAGCGGCGGACGGGUGAGUAACACGUAGGUAACCUACCUAUAAGACUGGGAUAACUUCGGGAAACCGGAGCUAAUACCGGAUAAUAUUUCGAACCGCAUGGUUCGAUAGUGAAAGAUGGCUUUGCUAUCACUUAUAGAUGGACCUGCGCCGUAUUAGCUAGUUGGUAAGGUAACGGCUUACCAAGGCAACGAUACGUAGCCGACCUGAGAGGGUGAUCGGCCACACGGGAACUGAGACACGGUCCAGACUCCUACGGGAGGAAGCAGUAGGGAAUCUUCCGCAAUGGGCGAAAGCCUGACGGAGCAACGCCGCGUGAGUGAUGAAGGUCUUCGGAUCGUAAAACUCUGUUAUUAGGGAAGAACAAACGUGUAAGUAACUGUGCACGUCUUGACGGUACCUAAUCAGAAAGCCACGGCUAACUACGUG
RNAcentral lists this ribosomal RNA (497 nucleotides) under uncultured bacterium. Its description in RNAcentral is "partial 16S ribosomal RNA". It matches the Rfam family "Bacterial small subunit ribosomal RNA", at positions 28 to 507 of the family's 1533-position model. The record is from RNAcentral.